AGCAGCCGCGGUAAUUCCAGCUCCAAUAGCGUAUAUUAAAGUUGUUGCAGUUAAAAAGCUCGUAGUUGAAUUUCGGGGUUAGUAGGCUGGUCGUGCCACAGGUACGUACUGGUCUAACUGAUUCCUCCCUCCUGAUGAACCGUAAUGCCAUUAAUUUGGUGUUGCGGGGAAUUUGGACUGUUACUUUGAAAAAUUAGAGUGUUUAAAGCAAGCUAACGCUUGAAUACAUUAGCAUGGAAUAAUGAAAUAGGACGUUCGAUCCUAUUUUGUUGGUUUCUAGGAUUGACGUAAUGAUUAAUAGGGAUAGUUGGGGGCAUUAGUAUUCAAUUGUCAGAGGUGAAAUUCUUGGAUUUAUUGAAGACUAACUACUGCGAAAGCAUUUGCCAAGGAUGUUUUCAUUAAUCAAGAACGAAAGUUAGGGGAUCGAAGACGAUCAGAUACCGUCGUAGUCUUAACCAUAAACUAUGCCGACUAGGGAUCGGAUGAUGUUAAUUUUUUAAUGACUCAUUCGGCGCCUUAC
This 520-nucleotide small RNA is filed under the name uncultured Glomus. RNAcentral's name for it is "SSU rRNA". It matches the Rfam family "Eukaryotic small subunit ribosomal RNA", at positions 569 to 1091 of the family's 1831-position model. Lineage: Eukaryota; Fungi; Glomeromycota; Glomeromycetes; Glomerales; Glomeraceae. The record is from RNAcentral.